Molecule: ribosomal RNA, 253 nt
Filed under: uncultured bacterium
Lineage: Bacteria
Description: partial 16S ribosomal RNA
Rfam family: Bacterial small subunit ribosomal RNA
Source: RNAcentral
UACGUAGGCAGCAAGCGUUGUUCGGAGUUAUUGGGCGUAAAGAGCGCGUAGGCGGCCCGGUAAGUCAGUGGUGAAAUACUCUAGCUUAACUAGAGGGGUGCCAUUGAUACUGCGGAGCUUGAGUACAGAUGAGGUAGGCGGAACUGACGGUGUAGCGGUGAAAUGCAUAGAUAUCGUCAAGAACACCGAUAGCGAAGGCAGCUUACUGGGCUGUAACUGACGCUGAUGCACGAAAGUGUGGGGAUCAAACAGG